UAUCUUGAAUACGGAUGAAAAGGGAAUCAUGUGAGAAUCAUGAGCAGACACCGCCGCUGUAAGUUCCUUAAUUAUUCUUUGAUAAUCACAGCCACUAUCUGUAUGGAUGGGAAGGCAUCAAAGAUGGAGCGAGCCAGAAGACCUGCCAAGUUGUU
RNAcentral lists this non-coding RNA (155 nucleotides) under human gut metagenome. The record is from RNAcentral.